This is a long non-coding RNA of Alligator sinensis (Chinese alligator), 349 nucleotides long. RefSeq lists it as uncharacterized. The record is from RefSeq and is a predicted model, not a curated record. The transcript is spliced from 3 exons. Lineage: Eukaryota; Metazoa; Chordata; Crocodylia; Alligatoridae.
CUGCAGGAGGACAGUGAGAAGCCAGUCUACCUCCGGUAUUCAGAACAAGAUAAGACAAUCAUGGAAGACAAUCAUCCUCAACUGUGAGGGAUUGCUGAAGAAGAAUUAACCUGUGGAACUCAUUGCCACCAUGAGAUGUUGUGGAAGCAGAUCGGUUCCUGACCUAGACUGAAUUAGGGUGUUUGGAUCCUGACCCAACUUCCCCACAGUUCAACAGAUGUCAGACCUGGUUUCAAAAACAUCUUCAGUGCAAAUUAUAUCAUAAUUCUCUUGAAAUUUUUCCUUGUUCACAAAUUACCCAGUAGACACCUGGUUAAUUUCCUGUAUGCAGAAUCUGUUGGGUACCCAG